Molecule: RNA transcript, 2183 nt
Organism: Lynx canadensis (Canada lynx)
Lineage: Eukaryota; Metazoa; Chordata; Mammalia; Carnivora; Felidae
Gene: CDK5RAP1
Gene name: CDK5 regulatory subunit associated protein 1
Exons: 16
Source: RefSeq, a predicted model, not a curated record
UGCGUGCGUUCCGUGGCGGCGGAAGGCGGAGGUGGGGGUCCAGGCCGCUUGAGGGGAGCUCCUGUUGCCGGUUGCUGGGUUUUCGGGCUGCGGGAGACUUUGGCUGUUGGUUUAGUGCCAUGCAUCCUUUACAGUGUGUCCUGCAAGCACAGAGAAGGGGCCCCUGGGCUUCUGUGUCCUGGCUGCUGCUCAGGACCUGCAGGGCACAGAGUAGUGUCCACGGCACCACAUGUCCCGGUCCAGAGAGGCAGCAGGAAAAUGGAGUUCGGAAGGAUUUCAGCUCUAGGCUGGCUGCUGGCCCGACUUUUCAGCAUUUUUUAAGAAGUGCUUUAGAUCCUCAAGAGAAGCCUGAUGUGGAGGACCCACCCCCCUAUCUCACAGUGGAUGAACUUUCUGGGAGGCAGAGAAAAGUCUACCUGGAGACCUAUGGCUGUCAGAUGAAUGUGAAUGACACAGAGAUAGCCUGGUCUGUCUUACAGAAGAGUGGCUACCUGCGCACCAGGAACCUCCAAGAGGCUGAUGUGAUCCUCCUUGUCACAUGUUCUAUCAGGGAGAAGGCUGAACAGACCAUCUGGAAUCGUUUACAUCAGCUUAAAGCCCUGAAGACAAAACGGCUCCGCUCCCGAGUGCCUCUGAGGAUUGGGAUUCUAGGCUGCAUGGCUGAGAGAUUGAAGGAGGAGAUCCUCAACAGGGAGAAAAUGGUGGAUAUUUUGGCUGGUCCAGAUGCCUAUCGGGACCUUCCUCGGCUGCUGGCUGUUGCCGAGUCAGGUCAACAAGCUGCCAAUGUGCUGCUCUCUCUGGAUGAGACCUAUGCUGAUGUCAUGCCAGUCCAGACAAGCCCCAGUGCUACAUCAGCCUUCGUGUCUAUCAUGCGAGGCUGUGACAAUAUGUGCAGCUACUGCAUCGUCCCUUUCACUCGUGGCCGGGAGAGGAGUCGGCCUGUUGCUUCCAUUCUAGAGGAAGUGAGGAAGCUUUCUGAGCAGGGGCUGAAAGAAGUGACACUCCUUGGUCAGAAUGUUAAUAGUUUUCGGGACAGUUCAGAGAUCCAGUUCAACAAUGCAGUGUCUACCAACCUCAGCCGUGGCUUCUCCACCAACUAUAAACCCAAGCAAGGAGGCCUUCGUUUUGCUCACCUUCUGGAUCAUGUCUCCAGAGUAGAUCCUGAAAUGAGGAUCCGUUUCACUUCUCCCCACCCCAAAGACUUUCCUGAUGAGGUUCUGCAGCUGAUUCAUGAGAGAGACAACAUCUGUAAACAGAUCCACCUACCAGCCCAGAGUGGAAGCAGCCGUGUAUUGGAGGCCAUGCGGAGGGGAUAUUCAAGAGAAGCUUAUGUGGAGUUAGUUCAUCAUAUCAGAGAAUCUAUUCCAGGUGUGAGCCUCAGCAGCGAUUUCAUUGCUGGCUUUUGUGGUGAGACAGAGGAAGAUCACCUCCAGACGGUGUCUUUGCUUCGGGAAGUUCAGUAUAACAUGGGCUUCCUCUUUGCCUACAGUAUGAGACAGAAGACCAGGGCAUAUCACAGGCUGAAAGAUGAUGUUCCAGAAGAGGUGAAAUUAAGGCGUUUGGAGGAACUUAUUACUGUCUUUCGAGAAGAAGCAACAAAAGCUAACAUGGCCUCUGUGGGUUGUACCCAGCUAGUGCUGGUGGAGGGGCACAGUAAACGCUCUGCCACUGACCUGUGUGGCCGGAAUGAUGGAAACCUUAAAGUGAUCUUCCCUAAUGUAGAGGUGGAGGAUGUUUCUAACUCUGGGGUCAGGGUUAGAGCUCAGCCUGGGGACUAUGUGCUGGUGAAGAUUACGUCCACCAGCUCUCAGACACUUAAAGGACAUGUUCUCUGCAGGACCACCCUGAAGGACUCCUCAGCAUAUUGCUGACCUGAGUGGAUGGCCUUAGAGUUGACAUGGGCUGUCCUUCCUGACAGGAAGGGAGAUAGGACUGGUCACUAAAGAAAGAGACAAGGGCUUUCGAGGCAGCCACGUCCAGGGAAGGCAGAAGAUUUAACAACUACCUACAAGGCACUGAGCAGAAGGUGCACCUAUUUGGGUGUGGACCGAUCGAAUAUUAGCAGGCGACACAAUGGUGAGUUUUGCAGCUGCCUCAGUCACCCGGUCCCGGAGGGGCCCCCAAGUGGACCCAGGCCCCCUGAGGAACAAAUAAUUUCAAGGCUUACUCACCCAGGAAAGUGA